CCUACGGGAGACUGCAGUGGGGAAUAUUGCACAAUGGGGGAAACCCUGAUGCAGCGACGCCGCGUGAGCGAAGAAGUAUUUCGGUAUGUAAAGCUCUAUCAGCAGGGAAGAAAAUGACGGUACCUGAGUAAGAAGCUCCGGCUAAAUACGUGCCAGCAGCCGCGGUAAUACGUAUGGAGCAAGCGUUAUCCGGAUUUACUGGGCGUAAAGGGAGCGUAGGCGGCCUGCCAAGUCUGAUGUGAAAUACCGGGGCCAAACCCCGGGGCUGCAUUGGAAACUGGCAGGCUGGAGUGCCGGAGAGGCAGGCGGAAUGCCUAGUGUAGCGGUGAAAUGCGUAGAUAUUAGGAGGAACACCAGUGGCGAAGGCGGCAUGCUGGACGGUGACUGACGCUGAGGCUCGAAAGCGUGGGGAGCAAACAGGAUUAGAUACCCGAGUAGUC
This 440-nucleotide ribosomal RNA is filed under the name uncultured bacterium. RNAcentral describes it as "partial 16S ribosomal RNA". It matches the Rfam family "Bacterial small subunit ribosomal RNA", at positions 338 to 795 of the family's 1533-position model. The record is from RNAcentral.